ACCCCCUGGCAAUGGGCAAGGAGACACGUGAUUGGUGGUGUUGCUCUUAUAUCAGUCAGGGGCAAAGCAGAUGUAUAGUCCUUAGUUCAUCCGAGUUUGAUGCCUGUGGCAGUGGCCAAAGCUGUUUCAUGCCUGAGGCACAUAA
Myotis lucifugus (little brown bat) is the source of this 145-nucleotide small nucleolar RNA. The record is from Ensembl. NCBI's taxonomy places the organism in Eukaryota, Metazoa, Chordata, Mammalia, Chiroptera, Vespertilionidae.